RNAcentral lists this ribosomal RNA (1098 nucleotides) under uncultured bacterium. RNAcentral's name for it is "bacterial SSU rRNA". It matches the Rfam family "Bacterial small subunit ribosomal RNA", at positions 49 to 1140 of the family's 1533-position model. The record is from RNAcentral.
UAACACAUGCAAGUCGAGGGGCAGCAUGAAGUUUGCUUGCAAACUUUGAUGGCGACCGGCGCACGGGUGAGUAACGCGUAUCCAACCUUCCCUAUAGUAGAGAAUAGCCCGGCGAAAGUCGGAUUAAUGCUCUAUGUUAUUCAAAGCGGACAUCUAAUUUGAAUCAAAGGUUCACCGCUAUAGGAUGGGGGUGCGUCUGAUUAGCUUGAUGGCGGGGUAACGGCCCACCAUGGCGACGAUCAGUAGGGGUUCUGAGAGGAAGGUCCCCCACAUUGGAACUGAGACACGGUCCAAACUCCUACGGGAGGCAGCAGUGAGGAAUAUUGGUCAAUGGGCGAGAGCCUGAACCAGCCAAGUAGCGUGCAGGAUGACGGCCCUAUGGGUUGUAAACUGCUUUUAUGCGGGGAUAAAGUCGGCUACGCGUAGCCGUUUGUAGGUACCGCAUGAAUAAGGACCGGCUAAUUCCGUGCCAGCAGCCGCGGUAAUACGGAAGGUCCGGGCGUUAUCCGGAUUUAUUGGGUUUAAAGGGAGCGCAGGCCGGAGGUCAAGCGUGACGUGAAAUGUAGCCGCUCAACGGCUGAGUUGCGUCGCGAACUGGUUUCCUUGAGUGAGUACGACGUCAGCGGAAUUCGUGGUGUAGCGGUGAAAUGCUUAGAUAUCACGAAGAACCCCGAUUGCGAAGGCAGCUGACGAGUCCUUUACUGACGCUAAAGCUCGAAGGUGCGGGUAUCGAACAGGAUUAGAUACCCUGGUAGUCCGCACGGUAAACGAUGGAUGCCCGCUGUUUGCGAUAUAUUGUAAGCGGCCAAGCGAAAGCGUUAAGCAUCCCACCUGGGGAGUACGCCGGCAACGGUGAAACUCAAAGGAAUUGACGGGGGCCCGCACGAGCGGAGGAACAUGUGGUUUAAUUCGAUGAUACGCGAGGAACCUUACCCGGGCUUGAACUGCAGGAGAACGAUCCAGAGAUGGUGAGGCCCUUCGGGGCUCCUGUGGAGGUGCUGCAUGGUUGUCGUCAGCUCGUGCCGUGAGGUGUCGGCUUAAGUGCCAUAACGAGCGCAACCCCUUUCGCCAGUUGCCAUCAGGUGAUGCUGGGCACUC